This 1346-nucleotide ribosomal RNA is filed under the name uncultured bacterium. RNAcentral's name for it is "partial 16S ribosomal RNA". It matches the Rfam family "Bacterial small subunit ribosomal RNA", at positions 28 to 1381 of the family's 1533-position model. The record is from RNAcentral.
GACGAACGCUGGCGGCGUGCUUAACACAUGCAAGUCGAACGGAAAGGCCCUGCUUUUGUGGGGUGCUCGAGUGGCGAACGGGUGAGUAGCACGUGAGUAACCUGCCCUUGACUUUGGGAUAACUUCAGGAAACUGGGGCUAAUACCGGAUAGGAGCUCCUGCUGCAUGGUGGGGGUUGGAAAGUUUCGGCGGUUGGGGAUGGACUCGCGGCUUAUCAGCUUGUUGGUGGGGUAGUGGCUUACCAAGGCUUUGACGGGUAGCCGGCCUGAGAGGGUGACCGGCCACAUUGGGACUGAGAUACGGCCCAGGCUCCUACGGGAGGCAGCAGUGGGGAAUAUUGCACAAUGGGCGGAAGCCUGAUGCAGCAACGCCGCGUGCGGGAUGACGGCCUUCGGGUUGUAAACCGCUUUCGCCUGUGACGAAGCGUGAGUGACGGUAAUGGGUAAAGAAGCACCGGCUAACUACGUGCCAGCAGCCGCGGUGAUACGUAGGGUGCGAGCGUUGUCCGGAUUUAUUGGGCGUAAAGGGCUCGUAGGUGGUUGAUCGCGUCGGAAGUGUAAUCUUGGGGCUUAACCCUGAGCGUGCUUUCGAUACGGGUUGACUUGAGGAAGGUAGGGGAGGAUGGAAUUCCUGGUGGAGCGGUGGAAUGCGCAGAUAUCAGGAGGAACACCAGUGGCGAAGGCGGUUCUCUGGGCCUUUCCUGACGCUGAGGAGCGAAAGCGUGGGGAGCGAACAGGCUUAGAUACCCUGGUAGUCCACGCUGUAAACGGUGGGUACUAGGUGUGGGGUCCAUUCCACGGGUUCCGUGCCGUAGCUAACGCUUUAAGUACCCCGCCUGGGGAGUACGGCCGCAAGGCUAAAACUCAAAGGAAUUGACGGGGCCCCGCACAAGCGGCGGAGCAUGCGGAUUAAUUCGAUGCAACGCGUAGAACCUUACCUGGGUUUGACGUGGAUCGGGAGUGCUCAGAGAUGGGUGUGCCUCUUUUGGGGUCGGUUCACAGGUGGUGCAUGGCUGUCGUCAGCUCGUGUCGUGAGAUGUUGGGUUAAGUCCCGCAACGGGCGCAACCCUUGUUCACUGUUGCCAGCACGUUAUGGUGGGGACUCAGUGGAGACCGCCGGGGUCAACUCGGAGGAAGGUGGGGAUGACGUCAAGUCAUCAUGCCCCUUAUGUCCAGGGCUUCACGCAUGCUACAAUGGCUGGUACAGAGAGUGGCGAGCCUGUGAGGGUGAGCGAAUCUCGGAAAGCCGGUCUCAGUUCGGAUUGGGGUCUGCAACUCGACCUCAUGAAGUCGGAGUCGCUAGUAAUCGCAGAUCAGCAACGCUGCGGUGAAUACGUUCCCGGGGCU